ACAAGCAGUGGAGUAUGUGGUUUAAUUCGAAGCAACGCGAAGAACCUUACCAGGGCUUGACAUCCCUUGAAGCAGCUAGAGAUAGCUGUGUCCUUCGGGACAAGGAGACAGGUGGUGCAUGGUUGUCGUCAGCUCGUGUCGUGAGACUGUUGGGUUAAGUCCCGCAACGAGCGCAACCCCGCCGUUAGUUGCCAGCGGUUCGGCCGGGCACGUCUAACGGGACUGCCCGCGAAAGCGGGAGGAAGAGGGGACGACGUCUGGUCAGCAUGGCCCUUACGGCCUGGGCGACACACGUGCUACAAUGCCCACUACAAAGCGAUGCCACCCGGCAACGGGGAGCUAAUCGCAAAAAGGUGGGCCCAGUUCGGAUUGGGGUCUGCAACCCGACCCCAUGAAGCCGGAAUCGCUAGUAAUCGCGGAUCAGCCAUGCCGCGGUGAAUACGUUCCCGGGCCUU
RNAcentral lists this ribosomal RNA (455 nucleotides) under uncultured Thermus sp. RNAcentral's name for it is "bacterial SSU rRNA". It matches the Rfam family "Bacterial small subunit ribosomal RNA", at positions 925 to 1382 of the family's 1533-position model. Lineage: Bacteria; Thermotogati; Deinococcota; Deinococci; Thermales; Thermaceae. The record is from RNAcentral.